RNAcentral lists this long non-coding RNA (299 nucleotides) under Pan troglodytes (chimpanzee). RNAcentral's name for it is "long non-coding RNA NONPTRT015750". The record is from RNAcentral. Lineage: Eukaryota; Metazoa; Chordata; Mammalia; Primates; Hominidae.
GGAAUUUGAGCAGUUUAACAGGAGGCUAAAUGAAGUUUCUAAGAGAGUUCGCAUACCCUUGCCUGUGUCUAAUAUACUUUGGGAACAUUGUAUACGAUUGGCUAAUCGAACUAUUGUAGAAGGAUACGCCAAUGUCAAGAAAUGCAGUAAUGAGGGUCGUGCCCUGAUGCAAUUGGAUUUUCAACAGUUUUUAAUGAAACUUGAAAAACUAACAGAUAUUAGACCCAUUCCUGAUAAAGAAUUUGUAGAAACUUAUAUUAAAGCUUAUUACCUAACUGAGAAUGACAUGGAACGCUGGA